RNAcentral lists this ribosomal RNA (317 nucleotides) under uncultured bacterium. RNAcentral's name for it is "bacterial SSU rRNA". It matches the Rfam family "Bacterial small subunit ribosomal RNA", at positions 30 to 346 of the family's 1533-position model. The record is from RNAcentral.
AUUGAACGCUGGCGGCGUGCUUAACACAUGCAAGUCGUGCGGUAACAGGCGUAGCAAUACGUGCUGACGAGCGGCGAACGGGUGCGUAAUACAUGGGAAUCUGCCCUUUAGUGGGGAAUAACCCGGCGAAAGCCGGGCUAAUGCCGCAUAAGAUCUUCGGAUGAAAGCGGGGGAUCGUAAGACCUCGCGCUGAUGGAUGAGCCCAUGUCGGAUUAGCAGUUGGUGAGGUAACGGCUCACCAAGGCGACGAUCCGUAGCUGGUCUGAGAGGACGGCCAGCCACACUGGGACUGAGACACGGCCCAGACUCCUACGGGA